RNAcentral lists this ribosomal RNA (461 nucleotides) under uncultured bacterium. RNAcentral describes it as "bacterial SSU rRNA". It matches the Rfam family "Bacterial small subunit ribosomal RNA", at positions 28 to 507 of the family's 1533-position model. The record is from RNAcentral.
GAUGAACGUUGGCGGUGUGCCUAAUACAUGCAAGUCGAACGGAGUUAGUAGCAAUACUGGCUCAGUGGCGAACGGGUUUGAGUAACGCGUUGGUGAUCUGCCUUGAAGUGUGGAAUAACGUUUCGAAAGGAACGCUAAUACCGCAUGUGCUCUCGAUUUUCAGAAAGUUGAGAGUAAAGGAUUUAUUCGCUUCAAGAGGAGCCUGCGUCCCAUCAGCUGGUUGGUAGGGUAACGGCCUACCAAGGCUAUGACGGGUAGGGGACCUGAGAGGGUGGCCCCCCACAAUGGAACUGAAACACGGUCCAUACACCUACGGGUGGCAGCAGUAGGGAAUAUUAGAAAUGGGCGAAAGCCUGAACUAGCAACGCCGCGUGUGCGAAGAAGGCCUUCGGGUUGUAAAGCACUUUUUGAGAGGAUGAGGAAGGACGGUACUCUCAGAAUAAGUCUCGGCUAACUACGUG